AGCGAGCUGAAUUCAAAGAUUCCUUCGGGAUGAUUUGUUGGACGCUAGCGGCGGAUGGGUGAGUAACACGUGGGCAAUCUGCCCUAAAGACUGGGAUACCACUUGGAAACAGGUGCUAAUACCGGAUAACAACAUGAAUCGCAUGAUUCAAGUUUGAAAGGCGGCGUAAGCUGUCACUUUAGGAUGAGCCCGCGGCGCAUUAGCUAGUUGGUGGGGUAAAGGCCUACCAAGGCAAUGAUGCGUAGCCGAGUUGAGAGACUGAUCGGCCACAUUGGGACUGAGACACGGCCCAAACUCCUACGGGAGGCAGCAGUAGGGAAUCUUCCACAAUGGACGCAAGUCUGAUGGAGCAACGCCGCGUGAGUGAAGAAGGUUUUCGGAUCGUAAAGCUCUGUUGUUGGUGAAGAAGGAUAGAGGCAGUAACUGGUCUUUAUUUGACGGUAAUCAACCAGAAAGUCACGGCUAACUACGUGCCAGCAGCCGCGGUAAUACGUAGGUGGCAAGCGUUGUCCGGAUUUAUUGGGCGUAAAGCGAGCGCAGGCGGAAUGAUAAGUCUGAUGUGAAAGCCCACGGCUCAACCGUGGAACUGCAUCGGAAACUGUCAUUCUUGAGUGCAGAA
This 619-nucleotide ribosomal RNA is filed under the name Lactobacillus delbrueckii subsp. bulgaricus. RNAcentral's name for it is "bacterial SSU rRNA". It matches the Rfam family "Bacterial small subunit ribosomal RNA", at positions 56 to 653 of the family's 1533-position model. Lineage: Bacteria; Bacillati; Bacillota; Bacilli; Lactobacillales; Lactobacillaceae. The record is from RNAcentral.